CUGCAACCAAUUAAGCUGACUGAAUUCCUUUCCUCACGGGGGCCAGGUGUGCAAUGGCUGCAAACAGCAGCUUCCUUGGUAGUGUACGCAGCCUGUUUCUUGUAUGCAUUGCUCUAAGGGACCUUGGAGACAGGC
Gorilla gorilla gorilla (western lowland gorilla) is the source of this 135-nucleotide small nucleolar RNA. Its record names the gene SNORA70. It matches the Rfam family "Small nucleolar RNA SNORA70". From Rfam's summary of the family: snoRNA U70 seems to be exclusive to mammals and is a member of the H/ACA class of snoRNA which contain H (ANANNA) and ACA box motifs. H/ACA box snoRNAs are involved in the conversion of uridines to pseudouridines (5-ribosyluracil) a constituent of structural RNAs (transfer, ribosomal, small nuclear, and small nucleolar). Lineage: Eukaryota; Metazoa; Chordata; Mammalia; Primates; Hominidae. The record is from Ensembl.